AAGGGCCUCCAAAGGGUCUGUUGGGUUUAGGCGCCCUCUCCUAAAAAGACGUCGGCCUUAUAGAUCCUCAGAACUUGCCUAAAUGAUCUCUUCAGCUUAAAAAGCACCACGUCUUGUGCCAAGACUUGUGCUUGGGGGCUAUGGACCGUCAUAAUAUUCCUAAGGACCUGAAAGACCUCCAAGACCUCCAAAAGGACUUUUAGACCCCUCA
This 211-nucleotide long non-coding RNA is filed under the name Medicago truncatula (barrel medic). RNAcentral describes it as "long non-coding RNA (MTRU_LNC000503)". Lineage: Eukaryota; Viridiplantae; Streptophyta; Magnoliopsida; Fabales; Fabaceae. The record is from RNAcentral.